Molecule: ribosomal RNA, 1474 nt
Filed under: Salmonella enterica
Lineage: Bacteria; Pseudomonadati; Pseudomonadota; Gammaproteobacteria; Enterobacterales; Enterobacteriaceae
Also listed under: 5 other names
Description: partial 23S ribosomal RNA
Rfam family: Bacterial large subunit ribosomal RNA
Source: RNAcentral
UUGGCCGGGCGACGGUUGUCCCGGUUUAAGCGUGUAGGUGUGUGUUCCAGGUAAAUCCGGUUCACUUUAACACUGAGGCGUGACGACGAGGCACUACGGUGCUGAAGCAACAAAUGCCCUGCUUCCAGGAAAAGCCUCUAAGCAUCAGGUAACAUCAAAUCGUACCCCAAACCGACACAGGUGGUCAGGUAGAGAAUACCAAGGCGCUUGAGAGAACUCGGGUGAAGGAACUAGGCAAAAUGGUGCCGUAACUUCGGGAGAAGGCACGCUGACACGUAGGUGAAGUGAUUUACUCAUGGAGCUGAAGUCAGUCGAAGAUACCAGCUGGCUGCAACUGUUUAUUAAAAACACAGCACUGUGCAAACACGAAAGUGGACGUAUACGGUGUGACGCCUGCCCGGUGCCGGAAGGUUAAUUGAUGGGGUCAGCGCAAGCGAAGCUCCUGAUCGAAGCCCCGGUAAACGGCGGCCGUAACUAUAACGGUCCUAAGGUAGCGAAAUUCCUUGUCGGGUAAGUUCCGACCUGCACGAAUGGCGUAAUGAUGGCCAGGCUGUCUCCACCCGAGACUCAGUGAAAUUGAACUCGCUGUGAAGAUGCAGUGUACCCGCGGCAAGACGGAAAGACCCCGUGAACCUUUACUAUAGCUUGACACUGAACAUUGAGCCUUGAUGUGUAGGAUAGGUGGGAGGCUUUGAAGUGUGGACGCCAGUCUGCAUGGAGCCGACCUUGAAAUACCACCCUUUAAUGUUUGAUGUUCUAACGUGGACCCGUUACCCGGGUUGCGGACAGUGUCUGGUGGGUAGUUUGACUGGGGCGGUCUCCUCCUAAAGAGUAACGGAGGAGCACGAAGGUUGGCUAAUCCUGGUCGGACAUCAGGAGGUUAGUGCAAUGGCAUAAGCCAGCUUGACUGCGAGCGUGACGGCGCGAGCAGGUGCGAAAGCAGGUCAUAGUGAUCCGGUGGUUCUGAAUGGAAGGGCCAUCGCUCAACGGAUAAAAGGUACUCCGGGGAUAACAGGCUGAUACCGCCCAAGAGUUCAUAUCGACGGCGGUGUUUGGCACCUCGAUGUCGGCUCAUCACAUCCUGGGGCUGAAGUAGGUCCCAAGGGUAUGGCUGUUCGCCAUUUAAAGUGGUACGCGAGCUGGGUUUAGAACGUCGUGAGACAGUUCGGUCCCUAUCUGCCGUGGGCGCUGGAGAACUGAGGGGGGCUGCUCCUAGUACGAGAGGACCGGAGUGGACGCAUCACUGGUGUUCGGGUUGUCAUGCCAAUGGCACUGCCCGGUAGCUAAAUGCGGAAGAGAUAAGUGCUGAAAGCAUCUAAGCACGAAACUUGCCCCGAGAUGAGUUCUCCCUGAGACUUUAGGUCUCCUGAAGGAACGUUGAAGACGACGACGUUGAUAGGCCGGGUGUGUAAGCGCAGCGAUGCGUUGAGCUAACCGGUACUAAUGAACCGUGAGGCUUAACCUUACAACGCCG